UGUUGACAUUAUAGUUGUGCAGGCACUUUGUUGACUCUAGAGAACCUCGGGCCAAUCGCACAUCCCUGUGACGCCGACUUUGCAUUCGGAUGUCAUCUCUAUCAACUUUUGAUGCCAGUUUCUGUGCCUACCAUGGUAGGUAAUGGGGAAUCAGGGUUCCAUUCUGUACAGGGACCCUGAGAAGCGGCUACCACAUGCAAGGAAGGCAGCAGGCGCGCAAAUAACCCACUCCCGACGCAGGAAGGUAGUGACGACA
Molecule: non-coding RNA, 256 nt
Organism: Pelobates cultripes (western spadefoot toad)
Lineage: Eukaryota; Metazoa; Chordata; Amphibia; Anura; Pelobatidae
Source: the annotation of a GenBank genome assembly